Molecule: ribosomal RNA, 476 nt
Filed under: uncultured anaerobic ammonium-oxidizing bacterium
Lineage: Bacteria
Description: bacterial SSU rRNA
Rfam family: Bacterial small subunit ribosomal RNA
Source: RNAcentral
UUCGCAAUGCCCGAAAGGGUGACGAAGCGACGCCGCGUGAGCGAAGAAGGCCCUAGGGUUGUAAAGCUCUGUCGAGGGUUAUGAAAUAUAGAUGGGUUAAUACCCCAUUUAUUUGACAAAAGCCCAAAAGGAAGCCACGGCUAACUCUGUGCCAGCAGCCGCGGUAAUACAGAGGUGGCGAGCGUUGUUCGGUAUUAUUGGGCGUAAAGAGCACGUAGGUGGUUUUGUAAGUCAGGUGUGAAAGCCUUCUGUUCAAAGGAAGAACGGCAUCUGAAACUGCAGAUCUUGAGUGUAGGAGGGGAGAGUGGAACUUCUGGUGGAGCGGUGAAAUGCGUAGAUAUCAGAAGGAACGUCGGCGGCGAAAGCGACUCUCUGGCCUAUUACUGACACUGAGGUGCGAAAGUUAGGGGAGCAAACGGGAUUAGAUACCCCGGUAGUCCUAGCCGUAAACGAUGGGCACUAAGUAGAGGGGUUUU